AGUCGAACGGUAACAGGAAGCAGCUUGCUGCUUUGCUGACGAGUGGCGGACGGGUGAGUAAUGUCUGGGAAACUGCCUGAUGGAGGGGGAUAACUACUGGAAACGGUAGCUAAUACCGCAUAACGUCGCAAGACCAAAGAGGGGGACCUUAGGGCCUCUUGCCAUCGGAUGUGCCCAGAUGGGAUUAGCUAGUAGGUGGGGUAAAGGCUCACCUAGGCGACGAUCCCUAGCUGGUCUGAGAGGAUGACCAGCCACACUGGAACUGAGACACGGUCCAGACUCCUACGGGAGGCAGCAGUGGGGAAUAUUGCACAAUGGGCGCAAGCCUGAUGCAGCCAUGCCGCGUGUAUGAAGAAGGCCUUCGGGUUGUAAAGUACUUUCAGCGGGGAGGAAGGGAGUAAAGUUAAUACCUUUGCUCAUUGACGUUACCCGCAGAAGAAGCACCGGCUAACUCCGUGCCAGCAGCCGCGGUAAUACGGAGGGUGCAAGCGUUAAUCGGAAUUACUGGGCGUAAAGCGCACGCAGGCGGUUUGUUAAGUCAGAUGUGAAAUCCCCGGGCUCAACCUGGGAACUGCAUCUGAUACUGGCAAGCUUGAGUCUCGUA
This 604-nucleotide ribosomal RNA is filed under the name Escherichia coli. Its description in RNAcentral is "bacterial SSU rRNA". It matches the Rfam family "Bacterial small subunit ribosomal RNA", at positions 60 to 653 of the family's 1533-position model. Lineage: Bacteria; Pseudomonadati; Pseudomonadota; Gammaproteobacteria; Enterobacterales; Enterobacteriaceae. The record is from RNAcentral.